GCCGCCGUAGCUCAAUUGGCAGAGCAUCUGAUUUGUAAUCAGAAGGUUGCGGGUUCAACUCCCAUCGGCGGCUCCA
RNAcentral lists this transfer RNA (76 nucleotides) under Deltaproteobacteria bacterium. Its description in RNAcentral is "tRNA-Thr". It matches the Rfam family "tRNA". Rfam says of the family: Transfer RNA (tRNA) molecules are approximately 80 nucleotides in length. Their secondary structure includes four short double-helical elements and three loops (D, anti-codon, and T loops). Lineage: Bacteria; Pseudomonadati; Myxococcota; Myxococcia. The record is from RNAcentral.